This is a long non-coding RNA of Amphiprion ocellaris (clown anemonefish), 1136 nucleotides long. The record is from Ensembl. NCBI's taxonomy places the organism in Eukaryota, Metazoa, Chordata, Actinopteri, Pomacentridae.
CCCCGUCUUGCAGGCCAAAGAGAGGGAUGUGGAAAUGUAUCCUCGUCUCCUUUCUACCUUUCAACCCGCCUUUUUUUCUUUCUUUUUUUUUUGUCGUCGCCACCAUGGCCUUAUUGUCUGCGGGUGAACACUCGCCUGAUCUUAACAAAAAACUCAGUUCAACCAGCAAGCCUCCACUGCUACCUGCACAACUAUCUGUCCUUAAGGCUGAGGAAACAGGUUAAUCUUCCAUGAUGCCGAAGGCGGUACGUGCAAGGGAAGCUCUGUGGAUAAAAAGAACACAAAGACUGAGUAAAUACCACAUGAAACAAAGAACUUAACCCACAGCUGUUGAGAUGAAACUGCAGACACAACAAAGACUCUACAGUUUUACAAGAUGCAACAGUGGAACUGGUCUACUGUGACAUGUUCUGAAGUUGGUACACAACGACCAAAGUCUUGCUUUGAAGGUUGUAAAUUUGUGCUCGAAGUUGAGCCUAGCAAGGUGAGGUAGUAGGUUGUAUAGUUUGUGGGAUGGAGUAAAUCCUAUUCAGGUGAUAACUAUACAGUCUAUUACCUUCCUUGAGAGGUACAAUGAGUGCUUGGGAUGAAGCUCACUCAGUGAUGAGAGGGACGACAGAGACACUCUGAUGCCAUCUUGUGGCUGAAGACAAACAUCACUUUGGAAAUGAUUUGUGUACCUUUGUUUUCUAUGAACAAUUUAUGAAGGACUGAUGACAAUACUGAAAAUUAAAGUUCAUUCACUACUGUUUUGACAAUUUAGAAUUGAAGACAUAAUCUGAUACAUGAUUCAAAACCAUAAUUUUAUCAUUCUACAGUCAAAUUAGAGGACUGCCAUUAGACUGAUGGUAAAUUAGUUUGAUAAUCCUGACAAAAGAGCAACAGUUUAAGACUUGCAUAUCCAGAAAUAGGAAAUGAGAGCGUUUUAGGCAUUUGAAAGUAGAAUUCGGUGUCACAUCCUAUUUAGAUGCAGACUGCAAAGAGAGUUGUUCUGAAGUUUACCAGCUUUGGGUAAAUGAAAUAAAUUGAUUUAGAACACAUUUUGGUCGUCAGUGCUGGUUUGUAAAUGACAAUAAACUACACUGCCUGUCCAGAAACAAAGUCGCCACCUGGACUUAACUAAACAAAUAGAUAAG